UUUUAUUUGAGAGUUUGAUCCUGGCUCAGGAUGAACGCUGGCGGCGUGCCUAACACAUGCAAGUUGAGCGAUUUACUUCGGUAAAGAGCGGCGGCCGGGGGAGUAACGCGUGGGUAACCUACCCUGUACACACGGAUAACAUACCGAAAGGUAUGCUAAUACGGGAUAAUAUACUUGAGAGGCAUCGCUUAAAUAUCCAAGGUGAGCCCGUACAGGAUGGACCCGCGUCUGAUUAGCUAGUUGGUAAGGUAACGGCUUACCAAGGCGACGAUCAGUAGCCGACCUG
Molecule: ribosomal RNA, 286 nt
Filed under: Clostridioides difficile
Lineage: Bacteria; Bacillati; Bacillota; Clostridia; Peptostreptococcales; Peptostreptococcaceae
Description: partial 16S ribosomal RNA
Rfam family: Bacterial small subunit ribosomal RNA
Source: RNAcentral